This 2058-nucleotide ribosomal RNA is filed under the name Escherichia coli. RNAcentral describes it as "partial 23S ribosomal RNA". It matches the Rfam family "Bacterial large subunit ribosomal RNA", at positions 890 to 2925 of the family's 2925-position model. The record is from RNAcentral. Lineage: Bacteria; Pseudomonadati; Pseudomonadota; Gammaproteobacteria; Enterobacterales; Enterobacteriaceae.
UCAUCUCCGGGGGUAGAGCACUGUUUCGGCAAGGGGGUCAUCCCGACUUACCAACCCGAUGCAAACUGCGAAUACCGGAGAAUGUUAUCACGGGAGACACACGGCGGGUGCUAACGUCCGUCGUGAAGAGGGAAACAACCCAGACCGCCAGCUAAGGUCCCAAAGUCAUGGUUAAGUGGGAAACGAUGUGGGAAGGCCCAGACAGCCAGGAUGUUGGCUUAGAAGCAGCCAUCAUUUAAAGAAAGCGUAAUAGCUCACUGGUCGAGUCGGCCUGCGCGGAAGAUGUAACGGGGCUAAACCAUGCACCGAAGCUGCGGCAGCGACGCUUAUGCGUUGUUGGGUAGGGGAGCGUUCUGUAAGCCUGUGAAGGUGUGCUGUGAGGCAUGCUGGAGGUAUCAGAAGUGCGAAUGCUGACAUAAGUAACGAUAAAGCGGGUGAAAAGCCCGCUCGCCGGAAGACCAAGGGUUCCUGUCCAACGUUAAUCGGGGCAGGGUGAGUCGACCCCUAAGGCGAGGCCGAAAGGCGUAGUCGAUGGGAAACAGGUUAAUAUUCCUGUACUUGGUGUUACUGCGAAGGGGGGACGGAGAAGGCUAUGUUGGCCGGGCGACGGUUGUCCCGGUUUAAGCGUGUAGGCUGGUUUUCCAGGCAAAUCCGGAAAAUCAAGGCUGAGGCGUGAUGACGAGGCACUACGGUGCUGAAGCAACAAAUGCCCUGCUUCCAGGAAAAGCCUCUAAGCAUCAGGUAACAUCAAAUCGUACCCCAAACCGACACAGGUGGUCAGGUAGAGAAUACCAAGGCGCUUGAGAGAACUCGGGUGAAGGAACUAGGCAAAAUGGUGCCGUAACUUCGGGAGAAGGCACGCUGAUAUGUAGGUGAAGUCCCUCGCGGAUGGAGCUGAAAUCAGUCGAAGAUACCAGCUGGCUGCAACUGUUUAUUAAAAACACAGCACUGUGCAAACACGAAAGUGGACGUAUACGGUGUGACGCCUGCCCGGUGCCGGAAGGUUAAUUGAUGGGGUCAGCGCAAGCGAAGCUCUUGAUCGAAGCCCCGGUAAACGGCGGCCGUAACUAUAACGGUCCUAAGGUAGCGAAAUUCCUUGUCGGGUAAGUUCCGACCUGCACGAAUGGCGUAAUGAUGGCCAGGCUGUCUCCACCCGAGACUCAGUGAAAUUGAACUCGCUGUGAAGAUGCAGUGUACCCGCGGCAAGACGGAAAGACCCCGUGAACCUUUACUAUAGCUUGACACUGAACAUUGAGCCUUGAUGUGUAGGAUAGGUGGGAGGCUUAGAAGUGUGGACGCCAGUCUGCAUGGAGCCGACCUUGAAAUACCACCCUUUAAUGUUUGAUGUUCUAACGUUGACCCGUAAUCCGGGUUGCGGACAGUGUCUGGUGGGUAGUUUGACUGGGGCGGUCUCCUCCUAAAGAGUAACGGAGGAGCACGAAGGUUGGCUAAUCCUGGUCGGACAUCAGGAGGUUAGUGCAAUGGCAUAAGCCAGCUUGACUGCGAGCGUGACGGCGCGAGCAGGUGCGAAAGCAGGUCAUAGUGAUCCGGUGGUUCUGAAUGGAAGGGCCAUCGCUCAACGGAUAAAAGGUACUCCGGGGAUAACAGGCUGAUACCGCCCAAGAGUUCAUAUCGACGGCGGUGUUUGGCACCUCGAUGUCGGCUCAUCACAUCCUGGGGCUGAAGUAGGUCCCAAGGGUAUGGCUGUUCGCCAUUUAAAGUGGUACGCGAGCUGGGUUUAGAACGUCGUGAGACAGUUCGGUCCCUAUCUGCCGUGGGCGCUGGAGAACUGAGGGGGGCUGCUCCUAGUACGAGAGGACCGGAGUGGACGCAUCACUGGUGUUCGGGUUGUCAUGCCAAUGGCACUGCCCGGUAGCUAAAUGCGGAAGAGAUAAGUGCUGAAAGCAUCUAAGCACGAAACUUGCCCCGAGAUGAGUUCUCCCUGACUCCUUGAGAGUCCUGAAGGAACGUUGAAGACGACGACGUUGAUAGGCCGGGUGUGUAAGCGCAGCGAUGCGUUGAGCUAACCGGUACUAAUGAACCGUGAGGCUUAACCUU